RNAcentral lists this ribosomal RNA (234 nucleotides) under uncultured Actinomycetales bacterium. RNAcentral's name for it is "partial 16S ribosomal RNA". It matches the Rfam family "Bacterial small subunit ribosomal RNA", at positions 96 to 334 of the family's 1533-position model. Lineage: Bacteria; Bacillati; Actinomycetota; Actinomycetes; Actinomycetales. The record is from RNAcentral.
UGGCGAACGGGUGAGUAACACGUGGGUGAUCUGCCCUGCACUUCGGGAUAAGCCUGGGAAACUGGGUCUAAUACCGGAUAGGACGAUGGUUUGGAUGCCAUUGUGGAAAGUUUUUCGGUGUGGGAUGAGCUCGCGGCCUAUCAGCUUGUUGGUGUGGUAAUGGCCUACCAAGGCGACGACGGGUAGCCGGCCUGAGAGGGUGUACGGCCACAUUGGGACUGAGACACGGCCCAG